RNAcentral lists this long non-coding RNA (3359 nucleotides) under Sus scrofa (pig). RNAcentral's name for it is "lncRNA (ENSSSCG00025046406.1)". Lineage: Eukaryota; Metazoa; Chordata; Mammalia; Artiodactyla; Suidae. The record is from RNAcentral.
AGUGCACUGUGGAGCGUGAAGCGAGAGGUCUGUGAACGCUUGACCGGGCUCCUGGGCCAUCAGUGUCUUAACCAGAGAGAAAGGACACUUUGAGAACAAUGAGACACGAAGCUCCCAUGCAGCUCUUAUUUGGUCCUAUGGACAGAGCUAGGUUCCUCUGCGCGGCUAUGGUUGAGGCUAUUUUGACGAGAGAUAGUAUACAUUAUCUUCCCAGUCUUCGCAAGGAGAAUGAGGGUGUCUAAAAUUUAAACCCGAGCAAACAAAAGUCGGAGGAACGUGCAUCUCGUAUUGGCAUUGAUUGUCCCUGCUAGCUAGCCUGGUUUGUGAUCGCGGCACUAACACAGACUUAAGGUCAGGUUCCCAAUUGUGAGCUCUCUACUGGAGUUAGGGUAGAACGAUUUCCUUAUCUCUGAGAUCAGGUUAAGAAAGGAGUAGCCAAUGUUAAGCAUCCUCAAAGUCACCUUUCUUCUAUUAGAGUUCUAGUAGUAUCAUCGGAAAAUAGCAAACACGUUGGGACUUCAAACAUCUCUGAGGUAUGCAAGCCCUUUAUUGCUGUCCAUACAGUUGGUUUACUCCUGCGUUUCAGCGAUUCUCCUCUGAGCUUUUCUGGUGAUGUGCCCAUUUGUUGUACGUUCCGAUUCUCUAUUUCAGUCACACUCUUACUUUUGCUUCCUUUGAUUCUGGUGCACAGGUGCCUCUGCCUAAGCAUCUUGCUUAAGUUUUGUUUCUAAGUAGGAUGAGUGAUGCUUUCUCGUUUUUAUGUACAACCAGUUAACGCUCGACAUCAGCUUGGGUUCAUUACCAAGCAGAGCGAUCCUAUUGCGCUACAGAAAGGCACUUUAUGAAUGGGAUUGAGAGGGGAAUGGAACACACCAUUUGGAAAGUGUUCUCUCUUUUGAGAAUCCACCUCUGCUGCCAAAUCCAAGGAUAUAAGUGUCUGACUUUAAUUCGUGCUUAGACAUUUUCCAACUCUUUUCCUAAAGGGCUUCAAUUUACUUUUCAUUUAUGGUCUGGGUUAUGUAUCUUAAGAUAUAUAUGUGUGUGUGUGUACAUACAUAUAUACACAUGACUGGACUGUUCAAUUAAAAAAUCUGUAGGAUUUGUUUGCUGAAGGAUUAUAUGAUGGAAGUCCUCAAGUUACCUUAUGAGUUAUUGAAAAUUUGAUUUGUUCCAGAGAACAGUGGCCCCAUUGUGUAUCUAUCUUCUAAUACCUCUGUUUGUGACUUAGUUUUUCAUUCUAGACCUGAUGUGGAAAGAAUCUGGACAAUAAAGGUACAGGCUGUUGCAAUCAAGAUAGAUUGGUUUAUGAUAAUUCUCCUUACCUGAGGUACUGCCAGGAGCCAACUGGCUAAAUUAAUCAUAUUUGAUUAUAAUUAAACAUUGACAAUAGACUUUACAAAUAGAUUGUUAGUAUUUAACUUCCACCCAUACAUGUAUAUAAGUAUUUAUGUCAAAAUAAAUGACUAAUGAAUUAAUCAUACUGCAUCUUAAUUUUUAUUUUCUUACAGUAAUUGCUUAGAGAGUUUAGAAAGAUCAUUAAAAACAGUAAUUGCUUAGAGAGUUUAGAAAGAUCAUUACAGAAUUGUAUGAAAUUAGUGCCUUAAGAAAUGUUUUAAAUUAUUUCUUACCAACUUUAUUUCAUACCAACUUUGUAGUAGGUACUGUAAUUCCACAUUUUAGUCAGAAGUUUAAUGAAUAAUUAACAUAAAAACAGGUAACAAAAUUAAUUUGCUUCUGGUUGCAAUUAUUUUCAUAUGAUGUAUUUUAUUCACUAGACUCAACUUUUCAAAUUAAAAAAUUUAAAUGCCCAAAUGCUAUCAUGAAUAACAUGUAUAUUUUUUAAAAAAUCAAAGACUUUUCUGUAGUAUAUUCAGUUAAAGCACAUUUAUUGAUUCAGUUUACCAAGUAAAUUGUUCUUGUGGUAGCCAUCUCUUUAUUACUAUUUGCUUUUCAAACAUGUAAUAAUUGGAAGAACAAAAACUAUAACAUGCUUCAUAUAUAUGUGUAUAUAUACACACACAUAUAUAUGUAUAUAUAUUUUAAAUGGCAAGUAAUGUGUCAGCACCUGUACUUCUGAAUCAUAAUUACAUUCCAGGUGACUCUGAUAUAUGAGAAUGCAACCAGAUAAAUAGUUGAUUUUUUUUUCCAUUUAAAGACUGAACCACGUCAUCAUUUUAAGUAUAUAAUCCUAAGCUUUUACUUAGGUUUCUAGAAAAUGAGUCUCAAGCAAAACCACACUCCGUAGCUUCAUUGUCCUAAGAUAUUCUUUUCCCUAUUUGAAAAUAUUUAGUUGAUUUGUUUGGUGAAACAAAAUGAGCUCUUUAAUUGUUGAUUUCUUAAUUUAUUAUAUUUUCUUAAAUCAUAGAAUCCUUUGAAAUUAGUUAAUAUCUUUUAAAAAGCAUUUAAUGUGCCUAUGUAAAUAGCUUGUUGUUUUGUUCAAGGUAGUUAUCUUUGACAUAUACAAAUUUUCUGAGGAAUAUUUCCCUCCGAGUUGAAGCAAAAUGAGGGGAAACUGUUGUUUUAUAGUGACUAUUGAAAUAAUAAACAGUAAUAGCCUCUGCUGUCUGUAUUUCCUUUGCAACUAAAUAAUCAGGGAUAGCAUUUUGUAAGUGUUCAAAAGGAUGAGUUAGAAUUUAAAGCAGGAAAUGGUCAUUUUGUGUUUUCUCAUUUAGUGCAUCCAUAAAUCUUGAGGCCAAAUGAAAGGGAGGAUAGUAGUGCUCCUAACUUGAGGGCAAGACUCUCAUGAAAAAAAUUGUCAUUUCAUUCAUGAACCAGAUAACAAAUUCCAGUUUAUAUGGUGCUUUGUCUGUGCCAAGCACUGUGCCUUGAAUUCAGAUCUCAGUAUUGUGUGUGUGUGUAAAAUAUAAAACAGUCUUAGAGGUCAUCAUUACCUUAACUGUAGGCAGAUAACAGGAGCUUAUUAAGAUUAAUCAGUUUUCCAAACACAGUAAAUUCACAAUUCUCCUAGAUAUCUAGAAGGUCCAUGCUCUUUCUUCUAUUAUUUUGGGUUCCUCAAGAAGACAUGAGAGAAUGUGUAAAGAAUAAGGGCAGUAUUGAUACAGUGUGAUUUAUUCAUUUGGCUCAUAGGAAACAAAAAUUGUCUCUUCUGCUUGUAAAGUUAUAUAAACUAAACCAAAUAUUUGAGAAGAGCCGAUAUUUUAAAAAUGCCCUGCUUUCUGUCUGCUGGAUUGACUUUCUUGCUGCUUGCAGGACUAAAGUGGAAUUCAUUGUCUCUGUUUAAAUGCUUCAUCUUCAAUUUUGUCAUCCACGCUUUCUGGGUCAUCUCAUAAAUGCUGAGCCCUCUAACUAUUUAGGAAAUGUGAAAGAAAAAUAACUACCCAAAGCAUGGAGUUGAGUGC